GGCAAGUCGGUGAAGGUGUGGCAC
RNAcentral lists this non-coding RNA (24 nucleotides) under Arabidopsis thaliana (thale cress). The record is from RNAcentral. Lineage: Eukaryota; Viridiplantae; Streptophyta; Magnoliopsida; Brassicales; Brassicaceae.